GUGGGUAACCUGCCUGUAAGACUGGGAUAACUCCGGGAAACCGGGGCUAAUACCGGAUGGUUGUUUGAACCGCAUGGUUCAAACAUAAAAGGUGGCUUCGGCUACCACUUACAGAUGGACCCGCGGCGCAUUAGCUAGUUGGUGAGGUAACGGCUCACCAAGGCGACGAUGCGUAGCCGACCUGAGAGGGUGAUCGGCCACACUGGGACUGAGACACGGCCCAGACUCCUACGGGAGGCAGCAGUAGGGAAUCUUCCGCAAUGGACGAAAGUCUGACGGAGCAACGCCGCGUGAGUGAUGAAGGUUUUCGGAUCGUAAAGCUCUGUUGUUAGGGAAGAACAAGUACCGUUCGAAUAGGGCGGUACCUUGACGGUACCUAACCAGAAAGCCACGGCUAACUACGUGCCAGCAGCCGCGGUAAUACGUAGGUGGCAAGCGUUGUC
RNAcentral lists this ribosomal RNA (443 nucleotides) under Bacillus sp. F241. RNAcentral's name for it is "bacterial SSU rRNA". It matches the Rfam family "Bacterial small subunit ribosomal RNA", at positions 117 to 545 of the family's 1533-position model. The record is from RNAcentral. Lineage: Bacteria; Bacillati; Bacillota; Bacilli; Caryophanales; Bacillaceae.